GUAAAAGAACUUUAAGAUAUGAAAAUGCAAGCAGGUAUGUUGACCCAAAAAAGAUGUGGACCAAAUAAUUGAAGGUAUCAAACUGCGGAUUGGAUUUUUCUUUUUGAAUUCAAUGAGAAGAAACUACUGGACUCUGCUCUCUCCUCUACCCCCUUUCAAGAUGUCUUGGAAAAUCUGAAGUGGACUAUGCGCUCAAGGUGUUUGAUGAUAUGUCUGGCACCGGAAAACUUGAGUUUUUACUAUGGCCAUCGUCAAUUGCGCCUUACCUGCUUAUAUACAUUCUUGCUCUUUCUUACUAAGGAGUAUAUACAUAUACUACUGCUGUAUAUUCCUAAAAGUGAAUAUUCGUGAAAAUCAUCGGGUCAUUGGUCCC
Molecule: long non-coding RNA, 373 nt
Organism: Lycium ferocissimum
Lineage: Eukaryota; Viridiplantae; Streptophyta; Magnoliopsida; Solanales; Solanaceae
Exons: 3
Source: RefSeq, a predicted model, not a curated record